RNAcentral lists this ribosomal RNA (742 nucleotides) under uncultured bacterium. RNAcentral's name for it is "bacterial SSU rRNA". It matches the Rfam family "Bacterial small subunit ribosomal RNA", at positions 8 to 796 of the family's 1533-position model. The record is from RNAcentral.
AGAGUUUGAUCCUGGCUCAGAGCGAACGCUGGCGGCAGGCCUAAUACAUGCAAGUCGAGCGGUCCCUUCGGGGGCAGCGGCGGACGGGUGAGUAACGCGUGGGAACGUGCCCUUUGGUACGGAACAACUGAGGGAAACUUCAGCUAAUACCGUAUGUGCCCUUCGGGGGAAAGAUUUAUCGCCAUUGGAGCGGCCCGCGUUAGAUUAGCUAGUUGGUGGGGUAAUGGCCUACCAAGGCGACGAUCUAUAGCUGGUCUGAGAGGAUGAUCAGCCACACUGGGACUGAGACACGGCCCAGACUCCUACGGGAGGCAGCAGUAGGGAAUCUUGCGCAAUGGGCGAAAGCCUGACGCAGCCACGCCGCGUGAAUGAUGAAGGUCUUAGGAUUGUAAAAUUCUUUCACCGGGGACGAUAAUGACGGUACCCGGAGAAGAAGCCCCGGCUAACUUCGUGCCAGCAGCCGCGGUAAUACGAAGGGGGCUAGCGUUGCUCGGAAUUACUGGGCGUAAAGGGCGCGUAGGCGGACAGUUUAGUCAGAGGUGAAAGCCCAGGGCUCAACCUUGGAAUUGCCUUUGAUACUGGCUGUCUUGAGUACGGGAGAGGUGUGUGGAACUCCGAGUGUAGAGGUGAAAUUCGUAGAUAUUCGGAAGAACACCGGUGGCGAAGGCGACACACUGGCCCGUUACUGACGCUGAGGCGCGAAAGCGUGGGGAGCAAACAGGAUUAGAUACCCUAGUAGUCC